UCCCUGGUGGCUCAGAGGUUUAAGCGUCUGCCUGCAAUGCGGGAGACCUGGGUUCGAUCCCUGGGUCGGGAA
This 72-nucleotide transfer RNA is filed under the name Ovis aries (sheep). It matches the Rfam family "tRNA". Rfam says of the family: Transfer RNA (tRNA) molecules are approximately 80 nucleotides in length. Lineage: Eukaryota; Metazoa; Chordata; Mammalia; Artiodactyla; Bovidae. The record is from Rfam by way of RNAcentral.